CGAGUCUUAACUGGGCGUUAAGUUGCAGGGUAUAGACCCGAAACCCGGUGAUCUAGCCAUGGGCAGGUUGAAGGUUGGGUAACACUAACUGGAGGACCGAACCGACUAAUGUUGAAAAAUUAGCGGAUGACCUGUGGCUGGGGGUGAAAGGCCAAUCAAACCGGGAGAUAGCUGGUUCUCCCCGAAAGCUAUUUAGGUAGCGCCUCGUGAAUUCAUCUCCGGGGGUAGAGCACUGUUUCGGCUAGGGGGCCAUCCCGGCUUACCAACCCGAUGCAAACUGCGAAUACCGGAGAAUGUUAUCACGGGAGACACACGGCGGGUGCUAACGUCCGUCGUGAAGAGGGAAACAACCCAGACCGCCAGCUAAGGUCCCAAAGUCAUGGUUAAGUGGGAAACGAUGUGGGAAGGCCCAGACAGCCAGGAUGUUGGCUUAGAAGCAGCCAUCAUUUAAAGAAAGCGUAAUAGCUCACUGGUCGAGUCGGCCUGCGCGGAAGAUGUAACGGGGCUAAACCAUGCACCGAAGCUGCGGCAGCGACACUAUGUGUUGUUGGGUAGGGGAGCG
Molecule: ribosomal RNA, 562 nt
Filed under: Citrobacter koseri
Lineage: Bacteria; Pseudomonadati; Pseudomonadota; Gammaproteobacteria; Enterobacterales; Enterobacteriaceae
Description: partial 23S ribosomal RNA
Rfam family: Bacterial large subunit ribosomal RNA
Source: RNAcentral